GCAAGCUUUCUUUGCUAAUCCACUAGAAUGGUGGGAUAAUAGGAAGAACAAGAGGAGUCCAAACUAUCCAGACUUCAAGCACAAAGAUACCGGUGAAGCAUUGUGGGUAGAAGGCAGAUACAAUCCAACAUGGGUGAAAUCUCAACUUGCAGUACUGGAUUCAAAGAUGGAGUCUUUUCAUGAUCAAAAUGGCAGCAGAAAUGCAGAGUUCAUGUCCAUGGAUAAUUUCCAAUUUUAGUUGUUCCCCAUUUGUUU
Molecule: unclassified non-coding RNA, 255 nt
Filed under: Hevea brasiliensis (rubber tree)
Lineage: Eukaryota; Viridiplantae; Streptophyta; Magnoliopsida; Malpighiales; Euphorbiaceae
Source: RNAcentral